AAAUCAAGCGCGAAAAGGGCGUUUGGUGGAUGCCUUGGCAGUAAGAGGCGAUGAAAGACGUGAUACUCUGCGAUAAGCCAUGAGGAGCUGAGAAUAAGCUUUGAUCCAUGGAUUUCUGAAUGGGGCAACCCACCUGACAGUUUGUUAUUGUUACCUUCGGGUAGUCAAUAACGGGCUGAAACAGGUACUUAAGGACUGAAUACAUAGGUCUUUAAGAGCAAACCCGGAGAACUGAAACAUCUAAGUACCCGGAGGAAAGGACAGCAAUAGCGACUCCCCUAGUAGCGGCGAGCGAACGGGGACCAGCCGAGCCUGAUAAGUGACCAGAACAUGUUGGGAAGCAUGGCCAUAGCGGGUGACAGCCCCGUAUGGGAAGCUUUGAAGGACGUAUCAAGUAGGGCGGGACACGUGAAAUCCUGUCUGAAGAUCGGAGGACCACCUUCGAAGGCUAAGUACUCCUUACUGACCGAUAGCGAACCAGUACCGUGAGGGAAAGGUGAAAAGCACCCCGACGAGGGGAGUGAAACAGUACCUGAAACCGAACGCCUACAAUCAGUCGGAGCUUCCUUGUGGAGUGACGGCGUACCUUUUGUAUAAUGGGUCAUCGACUUGGUCUAUCCAGCAAGCUUAAGCCGUUAGGUGUAGGCGCAGCGAAAGCGAGUCUUAAUAGGGCGUCGAGUUGGAUGGAUCAGACCCGAAACCGAGUGAUCUAGGCAUGACCAGGAUGAAGGUACGGUAACACGUACUGGAGGUCCGAACCCACACCUGUUGAAAAAGGUCGGGAUGAGUUGUGCCUAGGGGUGAAAGGCCAAUCAAACUCGGAGAUAGCUGGUUCUCUGCGAAAUCUAUUUAGGUAGAGCGUCAUCCGAAUACCCUCGGGGGUAGAGCACUGGAUGGGUAAUGGGGCCCCACAGGCUUACUGAUCCUAACCAAACUCCGAAUACCGAGGAGUACUAGAUGGCAGACAGACUGCGGAUGCUAACGUCCGUAGUCGAGAGGGAAACAACCCUGACCUACAGCUAAGGCCCCCAAUUCAUGGCUAAGUGGGAAAGCAGGUGGGACGACCAAAACAACCAGGAGGUUGGCUUAGAAGCAGCCAUCCUUUAAAGAUAGCGUAACAGCUCACUGGUCUAAACAAGUUGUCCUGCGGCGAAGAUGUAACGGGGCUCAAGCCAUGAGCCGAAGCUUAGGAUGCCGUAAGGCAUGGUAGCAGAGCGUAGUGUGACAUAGUCUCAUUCCUCUUUAGGGUCCUUCGGGGCCCCAUGGAGGAGAGAGGCUUUCGAUGAAGCGGGCGCGUGAGCGAUCCCGUGGAGAGAUCACUAGUGAGAAUGAUGACAUGAGUAGCGACAAAGAGUGUGAGAGACACUCUCGCCGAAAGUCCAAGGGUUCCUGCUUAAAGCUAAUCUGAGCAGGGUAAGCCGACCCCUAAGGCGAGGCCGAAAGGCGUAGUCGAUGGGAACCAGGUUAAUAUUCCUGGGCCAGAUGGAAGUGACGGAUUGCAGAGGUUGUUCAUCCUUAUCGGAUUGGAUGGGCCGCUGAGCAGUUCCUGGAAAUAGCUCCAUCAUGAGAUCGUACCCUAAACCGACACAGGUGGACUGGUAGAGAAUACCAAGGCGCUUGAGAGAACGAUGUUGAAGGAACUCGGCAAAAUACCUCCGUAAGUUCGCGAGAAGGAGGCCCGGUUCCUAGGCAACUAGGGGCUGGGGGCACAAACCAGGGGGUGGCGACUGUUUACUAAAAACACAGGGCUCUGCGAAGUCGCAAGACGACGUAUAGGGUCUGACGCCUGCCCGGUGCCUGAAGGUUAAAAGGAGAGGUGAGAGCCUUGAAUUGAAGCCCAGGUAAACGGCGGCCGUAACUAUAACGGUCCUAAGGUAGCGAAAUUCCUUGUCGGGUAAGUUCCGACCUGCACGAAUGGCGUAACGACUUCCCCGCUGUCUCCAACAUCGACUCAGCGAAAUUGAAUUGCCUGUCAAGAUGCAGGCUUCCCGCGGUUAGACGGAAAGACCCCGUGCACCUUUACUACAGCUUCGCACUGGCAUCAGGAUUGUGAUGUGCAGGAUAGGUGGUAGGCUUUGAACCCGUGACGCCAGUCGCGGUGGAGCCUCCCUUGAGAUACCACCCUUCGCACUCUUGAUGUCUAACCGCGGCCCGUUAUCCGGGUCCGGGACCCUGCGUGGCGGGUAGUUUGACUGGGGCGGUCGCCUCCUAAAGCGUAACGGAGGCGCGCGAAGGUUGGCUCAGAGCGGUCGGAAAUCGCUCGUUGAGUGCAAUGGCAGAAGCCAGCCUGACUGCGAGACUGACAAGUCGAGCAGAGUCGAAAGACGGCCAUAGUGAUCCGGUGGUCCCGAGUGGAAGGGCCAUCGCUCAACGGAUAAAAGGUACGCCGGGGAUAACAGGCUGAUACUGCCCAAGAGUCCAUAUCGACGGCAGUGUUUGGCACCUCGAUGUCGGCUCAUCUCAUCCUGGGGCUGGAGCAGGUCCCAAGGGUACGGCUGUUCGCCGUUUAAAGAGGUACGUGAGCUGGGUUUAGAACGUCGUGAGACAGUUCGGUCCCUAUCUGCCGUGGGUGUAGGAUACUUGAGAGGAGUUGCCCCUAGUACGAGAGGACCGGGGUGAACGAACCACUGGUGGACCUGUUGUGGCGCCAGCCGCAGUGCAGGGUAGCUAUGUUCGGACAGGAUAACCGCUGAAGGCAUCUAAGCGGGAAGCCCCCCUCAAAACAAGGUAUCCCUGAGGGCCGUGGUAGACCACCACGUCGAUAGGCCGGAGAUGUAAGCGCAGCAAUGCGUUCAGUUGACCGGUACUAAUGGCCCGAUAGGCUUGAUUUG
This 2831-nucleotide ribosomal RNA is filed under the name Roseovarius tolerans. Its description in RNAcentral is "bacterial LSU rRNA". It matches the Rfam family "Bacterial large subunit ribosomal RNA". The record is from RNAcentral. Lineage: Bacteria; Pseudomonadati; Pseudomonadota; Alphaproteobacteria; Rhodobacterales; Roseobacteraceae.